AUACGAAGGGGGCUAGCGUUGUUGGGAAUUACUGGGCGUAAAGCGCGCGUAGGCGGACUGAUCAGUUGGGGGUGAAAUCCCAGGGCUUAACCCUGGAACUGCCUCCAAUACUGUCAGUCUUGAGUUCGGGAGAGGUGAGUGGAAUUCCUAGUGUAGGGGUGAAAUUCGUAGAUAUUAGGAAGAACACCAGUGGCGAAGGCGGCUCACUGGCCCGAUACUGACGCUGAGGCGCGAAAGCGUGGGGAGCAAACAGGAUUAGAAACACUAGUAGUCC
This 274-nucleotide ribosomal RNA is filed under the name uncultured bacterium. RNAcentral describes it as "partial 16S ribosomal RNA". It matches the Rfam family "Bacterial small subunit ribosomal RNA", at positions 523 to 796 of the family's 1533-position model. The record is from RNAcentral.